This 21-nucleotide non-coding RNA is filed under the name Caenorhabditis elegans. Lineage: Eukaryota; Metazoa; Nematoda; Chromadorea; Rhabditida; Rhabditidae. The record is from RNAcentral.
UCUCGAAAUCGUAUUAUUUUC